AAUCUGGGACAAUGUGCGAAAGCCUGAUGUCGCAACGCCGCGUUAGUUAAGAAUGUUUACGGAUCAAAAAACUCUGCUGUAAGGGAAGAACAAAUACAGUAGUAACUGCCCGUACCUUGACGGUACCUUUUUAGAAUGCUACCGCUCACUACGUGCCAGCAGCCGCGGUAAUACGUAGGUGGCAAGCGUUGUCCGGAAUUAUUGGGCGUAAAGCGCGCGCAGGCGGUCCUUUAAGUCUGAUGUGAAAGCCCACGGCUCAACCGUGGAGGGUCAUUGGAAACUGGGGGACUUGAGUGCAGAAGAGGAAAGUGGAAUUCCAAGUGUAGCGGUGAAAUGCGUAGAGAUUUGGAGGAACACCAGUGGCGAAGGCGACUUUCUGGUCUGUAACUGACGCUGAGGCGCGAAAGCGUGGGGAGCAAAC
This 421-nucleotide ribosomal RNA is filed under the name uncultured bacterium. Its description in RNAcentral is "partial 16S ribosomal RNA". It matches the Rfam family "Bacterial small subunit ribosomal RNA", at positions 360 to 773 of the family's 1533-position model. The record is from RNAcentral.